AUUGAACGCUGGCGGCAGGCCUAACACAUGCCAGUCGAGCGGAUGAAGGGAGCUUGCUCCUGGAUUCAGCGGCGGACGGGUGAGUAAUGCCUAGCAAUCUGCCUGGUAGUGGGGGAUAACGUCCGGAAACGGGCGCUAAUACCGCAUACGUCCUGAGGGAGAAAGUGGGGGAUCUUCGGACCUCACGCUAUCAGAUGAGCCUAGGUCGGAUUAGCUAGUUGGUGGGGUAAAGGCCUACCAAGGCGACGAUCCGUAACUGGUCUGAGAGGAUGAUCAGUCACACUGGAACUGAGACACGGUCCAGACUCCUACGGGAGGCAGCAGUGGGGAAUAUUGGACAAUGGGCGAAAGCCUGAUCCAGCCAUGCCGCGUGUGUGAAGAAGGUCUUCGGAUUGUAAAGCACUUUAAGUUGGGAGGAAGGGCAGUAAGUUAAUACCUUGCUGUUUUGACGUUACCAACAGAAUAAGCACCGGCUAACUUCGUG
This 484-nucleotide ribosomal RNA is filed under the name uncultured bacterium. RNAcentral's name for it is "partial 16S ribosomal RNA". It matches the Rfam family "Bacterial small subunit ribosomal RNA", at positions 30 to 507 of the family's 1533-position model. The record is from RNAcentral.